Molecule: ribosomal RNA, 497 nt
Filed under: uncultured bacterium
Lineage: Bacteria
Description: bacterial SSU rRNA
Rfam family: Bacterial small subunit ribosomal RNA
Source: RNAcentral
CUCAGGAUGAACGCUAGCUACAGGCUUAACACAUGCAAGUCGAGGGAAACGACAUCGAAAGCUUGCUUUUGGUGGGCGUCGACCGGCGCACGGGUGAGUAACGCGUAUCCAACCUGCCCACCACUUGGGGAUAACCUUGCGAAAGUAAGACUAAUACCCAAUGAUAUCCCACGAAGGCAUCCGAAUGGGAUUAAAGAUUUAUCGGUGAUGGAUGGGGGAUGCGUCUGAUUAGCUUGUUGGCGGGGUAACGGCCCACCAAGGCAACGAUCAGUAGGGGUUCUGAGAGGAAGGUCCCCCACAUUGGAACUGAGACACGGUCCAAACUCCUACGGGAGGCAGCAGUGAGGAAUAUUGGUCAAUGGGCGAGAGCCUGAACCAGCCAAGUAGCGUGCAGGACGACGGCCCUAUGGGUUGUAAACUGCUUUUAUAAGGGAAUAAAGUGGGUCACGUGUGACUUUUUGCAUGUACCUUAUGAAUAAGGACCGGCUAAUUCCGUG